GCGAAUGAGGGGCAGGGAGCCGCGGUGAGACGGAGGGGGCGAGGUGUGUCCGGAGUUAUUGGGAGUAAAGCGCGCGCGGGCGGUGUCUUAAGUCUGAUGUGAAAGGCCACGGCUCAACCGGGGAGGGUCAUUGGAAACUGGGAAACUUGAGUGCAGAGGAGGAGAGUGGAAUUCCACGUGUAGCGGUGAAAUGUGUAGAGAUGUGGAGGAACACCAGUGGCGAAGGCGACUCUCUGGUCUGUAACUGACGCUGAGGCGCGAAAGCGUGGGUAGCGAACAGGAUUAGAUACCCCAGUAGUC
This 300-nucleotide ribosomal RNA is filed under the name uncultured Acidiplasma sp. RNAcentral's name for it is "bacterial SSU rRNA". It matches the Rfam family "Bacterial small subunit ribosomal RNA", at positions 496 to 795 of the family's 1533-position model. Lineage: Archaea; Methanobacteriati; Thermoplasmatota; Thermoplasmata; Thermoplasmatales; Ferroplasmaceae. The record is from RNAcentral.